Molecule: small nuclear RNA, 111 nt
Organism: Carcharodon carcharias (great white shark)
Lineage: Eukaryota; Metazoa; Chordata; Chondrichthyes; Lamniformes; Lamnidae
Product: U5 spliceosomal RNA
Exons: 1
Source: RefSeq, a predicted model, not a curated record
UGUUCUGCACUCUUCAGGUGGUAUAAACCUUUGGCCUUUUACCAAAGAUUUCCAUGGAGAGGAGCACACAGGGUUUAAGUUAAUUUUUUGUGGCCCUGCUUUAGAAGGGCU